Molecule: ribosomal RNA, 425 nt
Filed under: uncultured bacterium
Lineage: Bacteria
Description: bacterial SSU rRNA
Rfam family: Bacterial small subunit ribosomal RNA
Source: RNAcentral
UGGGGAAUAUUGGACAAUGGGCGCAAGCCUGAUCCAGCCAUGCCGCGUGUGUGAAGAAGGCCUUCGGGUUGUAAAGCACUUUUGUUGGGGAAAAAAAGACACCGGUUAAUACCCGGGGUUUCUGACGGUACCCAAAGAAUAAGCACCGGCUAACUUCGUGCCAGCAGCCGCGGUAAUACGAAGGGUGCAAGCGUUACUCGGAAUUACUGGGCGUAAAGCGUGCGUAGGUGGUUCGUUAAGUCAGAUGUGAAAGCCCCGGGCUCAACCUGGGAAUUGCAUUUGAUACUGGCGGGCUAGAGUGCGGUAGAGGAGAGUGGAAUUCCCGGUGUAGCAGUGAAAUGCGUAGAGAUCGGGAGGAACAUCAGUUGCGAAGACGGCUCUCUGGACCAGCACUGACACUGAGGCACGAAAGCGUGGGGAGCAAA